ACGGGGUGCAGCAGGCGCGAAACCUUUGCAAUACACGCAAGUGUGACAGGGCCAUCCCGAGUGCCGACCGCUGAGGUUGGCUUUUAAUCAGUCUAGAAAGCUGGGAGAAUAAGGAGAGGGCAAGUCUGGUGUCAGCCGCCGCGGUAAUACCAGCUCUCCGAGUGGUGUGGACGUUUAUUGGGCCUAAAGCAUCCGUAGCUGGCUGAACAAGUCCCCUGUUAAACCCAACGAUUUAAUCGUUGGCUUGCGGGGGAAACUGCUCGGCUAGGAGACGGGAGAGGCAGACGGUAUUCUCGGGGUAGGGGUGAAAUCCUAUAAUCCCGAGAAGACCACCAGUGGCGAAGGCUGUCUGCUAGAACGCGCUCGACGGUGAGGGAUGAAAGCUGGGGGAGCGGACCGGACUAGAUACCCGGGUAGUCCCAGCUGUAAACGAUGCAGGCUAGGUGUUUGGACGGCCACGUGCCGUUCUAGUGCCGCAGGGAAGCUGUUAAGCCUGCCGCCUGGGGAGUACGAUCGCAAGAUUGAAACUUAAAGGAAUUGGCGGGGGAGCAC
RNAcentral lists this ribosomal RNA (552 nucleotides) under uncultured archaeon. Its description in RNAcentral is "bacterial SSU rRNA". It matches the Rfam family "Archaeal small subunit ribosomal RNA", at positions 325 to 879 of the family's 1478-position model. The record is from RNAcentral.